This 301-nucleotide ribosomal RNA is filed under the name uncultured bacterium. Its description in RNAcentral is "partial 16S ribosomal RNA". It matches the Rfam family "Bacterial small subunit ribosomal RNA", at positions 509 to 807 of the family's 1533-position model. The record is from RNAcentral.
CAGUAGCCGCGGUAAUACGAAGGGGGCUAGCGUUGUUCGGAUUUACUGGGCGUAAAGCGCACGUAGGCGGACUUUUAAGUCAGGGGUGAAAUCCCGGGGCUCAACCCCGGAACUGCCUUUGAUACUGGAAUUCUUGAGUAUGGUAGAGGUGAGUGGAAUUCCGAGUGUAGAGGUGAAAUUCGUAGAUAUUCGGAGGAACACCAGUGGCGAAGGCGGCUCACUGGACCAUUACUGACGCUGAGGUGCGAAAGCGUGGGGAGCAAACAGGAUUAGAUACCCCAGUAGUCCCUGUCUCUUAUAC